Anas platyrhynchos (mallard) is the source of this 3736-nucleotide non-coding RNA. The record is from RefSeq and is a predicted model, not a curated record. NCBI's taxonomy places the organism in Eukaryota, Metazoa, Chordata, Aves, Anseriformes, Anatidae.
GAUCUUGGACCACGAGUGAAUGAGUUUAGAGUUCUCAGUUUGGCUUGUGGAGUCACUGUCUGCCUGAGGCUGUUUGGCAGCUGGCACUGGGGCUUUCAUUCAGCACAGACAAGGGCAUGCUGCUCUCCUCCUGGCUUGGAGCCAGGCCAAAGCCACUAAGUGGUGGUAUUCAGGGAAGGUAAGGCUAUCUUUCUGUCUGUCUUCAAACAACAUCUCUCUUCCUUAUUAGUUCAGAUAAGUGUGUAUCACAGAGGAUAUCCUAAAGCUGCUGCACCAGGGGAUGCUAGUGCCUUGCCUUUGCAGUGCUACAGCUAUACUGAGACAGAAGCAAAACCUGCUUCGUGAGGCAUGAGCACUCAAUCUUUGCAAAGUGUUCCUAGAAAAACUGGAGAUCUUCACAGAGAGCCUGAAGUUUCCAAAGAUUCAGCCUGCUAACAGCCACACAUCCCUGUACCUUGAAGUACCAUGCUAUGGCCCACCAAUACAACUUCUCACCCUCCUAUUUUUCAGCUCUGCUGUUUAAAGAUUUGUCAUCUCUUAAUCUGACAUCUGCAAAGUUGAAUACAAAGGCAAGUCUUGUCUUUUCUUGAUCGUGCAAUGACUUUUUCCUCAACCUCAUUUUUAACCUGUUCUAUAGAUUUGGCUUCUUAGUGUGCAGAGUGGAUUUUCCUGAGUGGACUACCAGCCUUUCUCUUCCUUUGAGGAAGACCAUUCACCUGGCAAGAUGCAACAUGAAGCCAAUGAAGUUUUGGGCAUACUGCUUGCACGAUAUAGUUCUGUUUGCUGAUAUAUAUCUGCCCUCCAGAACCAUGUUACAUGCAGAGUUGGGAAGUAAGCUGAAAGCAUAGGAAUGUUCUUAGAGUAAUCCUUGCAGAAGGUAAGAAACAAGAAAGGAAAAUUUCCUAUGGACUUUUAGAGAACUUGGUGCUUGAGAACAGAACUCUGCUGUGUUGCUUUGACAGGCUGAGGAAGAUGUUAAAUACCACAUGGGAAUAAAUGGAGGAGAGUCUGUCGUAAGUUCUUUAUGCUCUGGAGAGAGAUGUGUGAAUGGUGAGGAAAAGAGAGAGAAUUCAUUGACAAAGAGCUGCCCUUAGAGGUGGAUGUCAGAUGACAGUUUAUGUUACCUAUGUCAACAGAAAGCAGGAAAUCAAGCCCAAACUCCUCUCAGCACUGGUGUCUUCAUAACUUGGAAGUCAGCAAAGUGGUUGUGAAAGGGUUUGCAGACGUAUUAGUGCUCCUCCUGUGGGCAGUAUUGCCUUGGAGUGCCUCUUGCUGUCCUUCACAUCUGAUUGCAAACGAAAGCUGUUGCCUAUUGUUUCAUUUUUGCAGUCUCUUCCAUGAUCUUUGUAUCUGCUGCUUGUAUGAACUGCCUUAUUGUCUCCUGCUGCACCUUGUGGACAGUAAGUGGUUCUCCCCCCUUCCUUCCUACAGCUUCAUUCUUUAUGCAGAGCUCAGAAGUGCUGUCGUGCGCUGCUGUUGCUUGCAGGUGUCUCACCCAGACAGUAUGUCAUACUUUGAUGUAGUGUAUUGAUACAGUAAUGGUAUUUCUGAGGGAGCCCUAAUGGUGUGUUCUUAAUGAUAGAACUUCCUGGCAUUGUCCGGUAGACUGCACUAGAGAUUUUACAUACUGCUGUAUGUAAAAAACUGUAUUUUACAUACAGGGGUCCAUGAACAGGUCCCUCUGACAGAGGCCCAGAAUAGGUGAACCCCAACUAUUUUUCCAUGCAUUAUGUUGAAAGUGAAGAGGAGAACAUUCAUAUUGCUGACAUGGCUAUAAGAAGACCAGAAAUGUUACGAAAAGACGCCCCAGGGUCUCUUUUUUGGAUCCAUAUGUGUCCCAGUGCUGUCUCUUGCAAAUUAAAGAAAGAGGUUUUGCAAAGGAAUGGGAUUUGGCUGGGAAAAGGAACGAAGUUUCUCCAUGGGCCAUUUACAGCCAAGAUCUUUUCAGUGACACAAUUCCACUAUGAAUUUUGAUGUCCACGGUUUGGAUUUUUCCAUUCUUGAUUGUUACUGUAUUUUUUUUUCCCCAGAUCUUUAUUCUGGCUUGGUAUGUGUUGAAUUUGUUCUGCGAGGUGCAAAUGAUGACACAAGGACCAAGGCUGAAAUACAUCAGUUCUUCUUUCUUGUUCUUAAGUGACGGGACAGUUUUGGGACAUGAAGUGGCAAAAAGCUACCAGAAUGGUUUUGUUACAGAAAUGGAGUAAAAUUUAGAUGAAGAACAGGAGGAGAAACAGACCAGAAGAGAGAGGCAAAGAAAAUGGGAAUAUAGAAAGAGAGGAAAAUUGAUAAAUAAAAAAAAAAAAAAAGAGAACUGACUAAAGCAAGAGAAGAGAGAGGGAGAUUCUCUCCUGAUUAGAAUUCAUGAACUCCAUUCUUACAUUAAGUCUAUAUAUGACACCUGGCCUUUAAUGUGAAGCUGCCUACGAGCAUUAAAAAUUAAAAGCAGAAGGUAGGAUCCAUCCAUCUCGGGCAGCGCUGCUCCCCUCCUAUCUGAGCUCUGCACAAAGCUAUUACACAUUGAUAAAUUAUUUUGGGUAAUAGCUGAGAUAUUACAUUGUUUCUGAGUGAAGGUAAAAUCUCUCCAUGACAUGGGCAUUUAUCAGGAGCGCAUUUCAUCCUAUUUAUUAUGGCCGAGACGAGAUCGCAGGCUGCGGGCAGAGCUGGCACGUCGUGCUGAUCACCUCCCCCAUCGCCUCCCUUCCCUCUGUCACUUAGAUGAUGGGAUAUUGAUGGAGCUCAUGACAAGUUAAUUAUUAACUAAAGAUAUGCAGUUCACCUUUGCCAGGGGAGGGGGCAUAGAAGAGAGCAACGAUAGUUCUUAAAAAAAUAAAUGUAUCCAUUGUAUCUUAGGAUUCUUCUUUCCACCUUCCUCUCCCUUCUACCUGUGGUAUUUUACAACACCCCCCCAGCAUAAUCGGGGUAAGGAUGUCCUAACAGACUGAAUAAGUCAGCUAUUCCUUUCCAUGGAGUGCUGGAGGUUCGCCUAAAUUCUAGCUGGCUUGCAGGACAAAGGCUGAAAGAGGAUGCCACAAAGUUCUUUUUACUCUGGACCUCAAUCUUCAGUCCCUGCCUGCACAAUGUAGCUGUGUGGACAUCACUGACAAAAUACUAAUGGUGGUAACACCUGGUGGUCCUGCUUGUCUUCCAAAGAUACAUUUCUGGAAUUCAAGAAUGUUAACCCUGUGUGUGCUCCUGUGGGGUACACAGCACCUCCUGUGGGAUCAACAAUUACUGGAGACCUAUGCAGUGAAGGAGGCUGCCUUGUGGAGUGGACCUUGCAGAUAGCUGGAACUAUAACCCAGUCCUUUGCUCCUGAGCGCAUUGAUGGAGGACUCUCAGGUGGGAUGAAGAGAAGGUCGCUGACUCCACCUUAUGCUUAGACGGGAGGAAAGAAAAGCCUGCUGUUUGUCCUGGCUUGCAAAGUUGCUUCUGGACAGCUCUGUGCUGCGUGGGCAGUGUUACACAGUCAACGGGCUUUCCACCAAGAAGGUCAAGUUUAAAUGGGGCAGGCCAGAGACCGCUGUUCCCAGAGAAGAAUGUGCCCAAAAGAGAAGAGCUGGUCACUUGGGAAGAAGUGCCUUUUGCAGAGGCUGACAGUCACAGAGGCCGUUUGUGUCCCAAGGCCCAGACUCUGGCACCUUUUGCCCCACGCAGAAGGACAGCUGUAUGGAGCUGACUGUGACUCCCAAGUUACAAACAAAUGGUAUAAAAAGCACCGACCAGAGCCCAAUUCCUG